AUUCUCAGUGGCAGGGGAGAUACAGUACCAUGAACACUAAGGUGGUUCUCCCAGGGCGAGGCUCAUCCAUUGCACUCUGGGUGUGCUGACCCCUGCGAUUUCCCCAAAUGCAGGAAACUCGACUGCAUAAUUUGUGGUAGUGGAGGAUUGCAUUCGCGCUCUCCCCUG
Small nuclear RNA from Erpetoichthys calabaricus (reedfish), 168 nucleotides. Its record names the gene U1. It matches the Rfam family "U1 spliceosomal RNA". From Rfam's summary of the family: U1 is a small nuclear RNA (snRNA) component of the spliceosome (involved in pre-mRNA splicing). Its 5' end forms complementary base pairs with the 5' splice junction, thus defining the 5' donor site of an intron. NCBI's taxonomy places the organism in Eukaryota, Metazoa, Chordata, Cladistia, Polypteriformes, Polypteridae. The record is from Ensembl.